This 6145-nucleotide long non-coding RNA is filed under the name Sus scrofa (pig). RNAcentral's name for it is "lncRNA (ENSSSCG00060071687.1)". Lineage: Eukaryota; Metazoa; Chordata; Mammalia; Artiodactyla; Suidae. The record is from RNAcentral.
ACACCCAUGGCAGGUGGAAGUUCCCCGGCCAGGAAUUGACCCUGAGCCACAGCAGUGACUCGAGCCACAGCAAUGACAACGCCAGGCCCCCAGCCUGCUGAAACACCAGGGCACUCUCUUGCGUUGUUUUUUCAAUUGGAGUCGCUUACCUGACCCUGCUCAGCCUUAGCAUCAGUAGGGAAGAAGCUAGAUGGAAAGACAUCACCUGCGCCAUGAAGUUGAGAAAGACCAGCGGCCUGUGAUGGACUUGAAUCCAUAUUCCCAGGCUCACUGCUCCAUCUGCAGUUACACAGGACCCAGAAAUAUCAUGCCACAAAGCAUGAGACAACAAAUCACCGCAUCACCAUUCUUCGAAAAAUAGACAUAAAAUGUCACCCACGCGUCAUCAGGGUCCCUGCCCCAGGAGGUCUGGGUGGACUUCACCCAUCCCAGCACUAUGGCCCAUGGCUGGCUGGAGCCCUCACUUGAUGUCCGUGCAUCUCUGUCCUCUGGGCCCCUCUGGCCUCACAGGCUGGCCCUGACCGACCCUGAGCCUCAGAACCUGCCUCGCCAGCAGUUUCCCACAGAAACGCCUUCCACAUCAAGUGGUCUGUGCUUUUUUGUUUGCCGUGGGCUAGAGAUGUUGCAUGUCAGAGAAACAGUCGCCCACACGGCACACAAAGAGACCAUCUCCUGAGUGUCCGCACUGCUUCCCCUGCCCCCUCCCCUUCCCCCUGGUGCGGCCAAGCGCUCCCCACCUGAUUCUGGCCCCAGAGUCAGGUCUGUCCUUGGUCCCUUUAAGGUAUAAGCUUCUCCCGUAGUUAAUGCAUGAAGAAAAUCCCUCCCUCUCUGUCUCUCUCUCCCCCUCUCAUUCUCCAUUAUGGACUUUUGGUGAUUCUGAGUUUCUGUCUCAUUUCAUUCAAUACACAGUAGAGCUUAACAGGACUCUUCUUUAGAAAUUGCCUUAAAUAAUUGCCUUAAAUAGGAUUGUUGGGAAACACUGACUAUUUUCAAGUUUCGAUGGGGUCAGGGUCAGGGCUGUCUGAGCAGCGUGGUGGCACCUGGAGGGGAAGCCGCUUGGACAGCCAUGAGCACAGCAGUGCGGGUUGCAAGUUGAAGAUCACGGCCCCUGGCGAGAUGGUCAGCUCUCUUGCCCCUGGAGACAGGUAUUGACGUUCCAAAGGGUAAUGAACCUGAGGACCUUCCUGUUCCCUCUCUUUCUCUCUGGGUUGGGGGCGGGGGGGACGGGGAGCAGAUGGACCCUCAGCUCCUAUAUUAGCUUCAAGAUUCAGUCUUGGAGUCCUUCCCCUGGGGUGCAAGCCCCUAGACAUGCAGAGUCAUCUGGGCCUCACAGCGGUUCCCCGAGGGAAGACGGCCCAUGAGCGACCAGCACGAGGAUGGCUGGGUCAGUAAGUCAACCUUGGAUCCAGAAAGCAUGUGUUUCCUCUCAGGACAAGUAAGACGUCUGGAUGUAAAAACACACAAUGUGGCACGAGGGUAUCCACUUUUUUGCAAUUUGAUAGAAGACGGAUCUCCAAAUUUUGAACUGCAUUGUUUCUUUGGAAACUGUUGACUGAAAGAAUAUGCACAACCUAAAAGUUGAGAGUUAAGUUUUAUUUGGAGCAAAAUGAGGACUUAAGCCCUAGGCGGCAGCAUCUCAAGUAACCCUGAGAAAAGCGCUCCAAGGAAGCGAGGCGGGAGCUGGGAUAUACAGGACAAAGAGCAGGUAGGAACAAAAGACCACUGUUAAUAACAGGAAACCCAGGAGUUCCCAUCGUGCCGCAGUGGAAACAAAUCCAAUUAGGAACCAUGAGGUUUCGGGUUUGAUCCCUGGUCUCACUCAGUGGGUUAAGGAUCUGGUGUUGCCAUGAGCUGGAAUGUAGGCUGCAGACGCAGCUCGGAUCCUGUGUUGCUGUGGCUGUGGUAUAGGCUGGCAACUGUAGCUCCAAUUUGACCCCUACCUGGGGAAGAGAGGUUCGUGAAGAAAAAUCAGGGAAGAAACCAUCAAAAUCUCUGACAAUGUAUUUUCUGGUGAGGCGUCGGGUAUUUCAUUAAAUCUAAGAUACUAACAAUUAUAAGAGGAAUCAUCAUUUUAGGGACCACUAAGAAAAACAGAAACAAGCUGCCAAUUAAACUAUGACAAAAUGCCUUCUGGGACCUCAGAAUUUCCAUUUAGGCUUAUUUAGAUUUAGAUGUUUAUGCUAUAGGGGACACGUUGUGGUGCAUAUUUACAGUCUAACACAUGUGGAUGUCUUUCCAGUUUAGUCUCAUCGAUGUUCGUGCUGCUGACACAGCAAUUUUUUUCUUUUUCUUUUAAAAAAUGCUUGGAUGGUCCUUUCCAUUCAGCAGUUUAAUACUGGAACUUUCUGGAUUUCUCUAGAAGGUGUCAAUGACAGGCUGGCAAGCAACAACUGGGAAUUGAGUUUCUUUUGGUGUUACCUGGACUUUUAGGUUAACUAAAGCAGCCCAUUUGUGGCCUCUCAAACAUACAUUGUACACCUGCUUUAAUCAUUAAAGAAAAUGGUGCAUUGACCAGAAGUGAAGAAUGUCCACCUUAAAAAUAAAGAUGAAAUCCCACCCUUCCUGGGACAGCAAGGCUGGUGCUUCUUCGAUGAUAAGAGUCCUUUCCUGGGUGUCAAAGCCAUACUGAUUGGCUACUAGCUGUCUUUAAAACAAACACAUAAAAAACCCCAAAACGGGAAGGAAUGUAUCCAUGAUUUCUUUAGUGUUCCUCCUCUAACGAGGUAUAAAACCAGCGAAAACCAUGCUUCUCCAGAGCAGUUCCUUAGAGUUCUUGGAGAGGUUUCCCCGGGGAGAGUCAGUCCUCAGUCUGGCUCAGAUAAAACUCUUUUCUAUUCCUAUUAUAGGUGGUUCAUUAGUUACUUCUGUCGACAAUGCCCUGAAAUGUCCAAAUGCAGGGCCGCAAGGACCCACCACUAGAGCAGGAUGGCAGCCAGUCGGUGCACCGAGCACAGCAACCGCACUGGGUCCUCGCGGGGAGCCAGCUCCACGCAGGCUCCUAGCCACCCCGAGGCAGAAGUGGGGACGGCCAGGAACGGGAGCCGGCACCCACCCGGGGACAAGAGACUUCUGGUCGGGGGAGGCUGGGCAGCACUUGGAGGGGAAAACCCUACCUGUGAUUGUUCCAGGCCCCCUCCCUAACCCUCUCAGUGACCCGCGCUGAGCAGGUACGCAGGGGCUGGUGAAUUCAUUCCUUUCACACAGAGGGCCCAAGCAGUGAUUGAAUCGCUGGAAAUUCAGCAGUAAACCCAGCAUGAGCGUCCCCCAGAAAGUGGACUAACUUCUCACAGGGGCCACAGACAGGGGAGCAGAUCCUGAGUCAGUGGGCGGUGAAUAUCUGGAAGUUUCUAGAAGCAGGUGGGGGCGGGCGGGAUUGGGGAAAGAUGAGGGUGGCUGCUGCUGAAAUGAAUUGGCAGGAUAAUGCGCCCCAAUUGCUGGGAGUCCAUCCUCCAUGCUCAUUAAAAUCCACACCUUCCUAUUUUAUCUGAGACUGAGGAUUUCAAAACACACACACACACACACACACACACACACACGCACGUGAACACACACGGGAUCUCUGGAAGCCACCACCUCAAAGCCCUGCCAGGAGCAAACACUCCCUGGUGAGCAUUCAAAGGCAGGCGAUCAAGACGUACAAGAGAUGCAGGAGUUACAGGGAAGGCGCAGUUCUGAUGAGUUAGAACCAGUGUCCCCUGAGACGUGGACUUGCUCCAAGGAGCAGGACAGAAUGACCUCCAGAGUGUUUUUUAAUACACAAUGUUUAUUCUCACUGCAAUGGCAGAGACAAGGCAGUCCUGGAAAGAGAACAGCAUCCAGAGGUCAGCGAAAAUUGCCCGCAGUGGAAAAGCUAUUACCAAAUUUUAAAACACAAUAAAAGAGUUUAAUAAGGUGUCCGGUUUACAAAAUAAAUCCAUAAAAAUCGAUGGCUUUCGUUUUACACCAAUAAUAACCUGGCAGAAAGUGUAAUGGGAGGAAAAUUCCACAUGCAGUCAUGACAAUAAAUAUGAAAUACCCAGGAAUAAUUGCCCUGAGGUGUGCUGAAGUCCACGGUGAGCGCUUUAAAAUUUACUUGCCAAGAAGACACACAUAUCAUGCUCUUCAGAGGGAGCAGAGGAUAUGUAGUUUGAAUUUUCCGUGCUGUGAUUCUCAUUACCCUGGGAUUAAUUUGCUCUGGCAUCUGCAUUCUCCACGAUGCUGUGAACUCCAAGAUGCUGUGUCACUUCCUGCUGUGUUUUAGUACAUGUCCAGGUUCCUGGAUCAUAGCAGGUGCUCAGUAAAUACUGGCUGGCUUAGUGAGUCGAGAUGGAGAGGACCACACAUCCAGGCUGUUUUAAAGGAACCACCAGAGGAUCCAAGAUUGAGCCCUAAAGCCCGAAAGAAUGGCUCCAAACCACAGUGGUUUUAGACAAUUAGAAAUUUAUUUCCCUCACUGUAGUAUUCCCGGAACCUCGGCAAAGAGGGUAGCGAUCAGCCUCUUAGGCAUUAUCCCACCCUGGGGUGAAAGGGACAAAGGACCCAUCCCACAAAAGCAGCCGUUCUCGCGGCCCCAUGAAGCAGUAAGAGCUAGAAGUCCCCCUCAGACUCCUCUGUACUGGGGACCAAUGAGGCUCCUUGGAAUGUUCCAGAGACUUCCUUGGGGAACAGGAAGUGCCUUCAAGGCUUUCGAGUGGCAGUGGAAGGAAACCAUUGUUAUUGGAAACAAAAUCUAAUCUGGUAACUGCAGCCCUGUCUUCUUAGAAGCUGAGGACCAAAACACAAUCCAAACAGCAGUGGAACAAAAUCUCUAGGCCCUCUCCUUCUUGAAGACCUUGAUGAGGAAGAGAGAAGGAGCAACUCUUCAGGCGGACGCCCCACUGCGUAGGGAGGAUCCUGAUGAAUUUCUGGUCUGCGGAGAGGCUCAGCGUCUAGUCUGGGAGUGAAAAACUGGAAAGCACAACUGUUCUGUGUAUUUAAAGGGAGGAAGAUUUGAGGGUUUACUGCAAACAGGGGGUGCAUUGGAGCAGAGGAGAAAGGAGAGAGCAAACUGGUGGAAGAACCAGGAGCCCAGGCUGGUGACAAUGGUCAGAGACUUUAGGAACCAGAAGUCCCAUGGCUCACCUAAGCCAGGCACAGAAACAGAUGGUUCUCAACAUCCAGGAAAGUUGCUGAGCUCCAUGCCUGGAUCUGCAAAAAGGAUAGGAUGCUGCCGAGGGAGGGAAGAGCCAGAGGAGGUCUGAGUUCUGCCAAAGGUCAAACACGAGGUGCAGAAUCCACAGGGAGACUCGGGAAGACAGCCCUCAAAGGAUUCCUCGGUGUGACUUGCAGGGAAGUUCCAAGAAAGCUCCCCUGAUCCAAAGCCACCCCAACGGCAGGUCUGAUGCCCAUGCAGAAGGUGAUAAACACUCUUGCCCAUCCUGCCCAGAGCAGACCACUCACAGAGCUCAAGCCUGGAAGGACUUUUGCAAGAGCCCAAUUCCUUUCCAACCUCAAGCUUGUCCAUAAAUGACCAUGAGAUCAGGGGAGUGGAAGUAUAGCAAGUGAGGACUGAUGAAAAGAACUGGGGGUGUUUGGACUAAAACAAGAAGGACUGGGAGGACGAGAGAACCAUCUCCAAACCAGGAUGGGAAUGGGCUUAUCAUCUAUUAUGAUUCUGGAGGGCGAAACUGAAGUCAGAAGAUAGAAGCAGCAGGAAAAAAUAACUUGGCUCAAGGCAAGGGGGGCGUUCUUGCCGCUUGAGAAAGUGAAAGUGACUUCCUGUGAACAGUGAGAGAAGGGGCAGAGGAGGUGAGAGCCUGACCUCCGGUGCUUGGUGGGGAGUGGUGGGGCACAGUGUCCAAGCUGAAAUGGGGUGAGAUUCUUGGAUGGGAUGCCCUGAUUCUAACCCCCCGCUAAGAUCCCAGCAAUAACACCACCUGCAGAGCCCACCAUGGGAAACGGAGCUGCUCACAGGGCAGGAGGUGGCUCCCUGAAGCUGUGGUGACCCAACACUUUGGGGAUUAUUUCCAGAGUAAGCAUGAGUGUCUGUGAGUGCACGUGGGGACAGCAGGACAGACCCUCAGCAAGGUCUUGCAAUGACCUUCUCAAGUGGGCCUUCCCUGAACAGAGGGGUUUCCAGAACAUCUCCUUGCCUGAGUCACUGACUUAAAGGCAGAGAAUUGGGGAA